CCUACGGGAGGCAGCAGUGGGGAAUAUUGCACAAUGGGGGAAACCCUGAUGCAGCGACGCCGCGUGAGUGAAGAAGUAUUUCGGUAUGUAAAGCUCUAUCAGCAGGGAAGAAAAUGACGGUACCUGACUAAGAAGCCCCGGCUAACUACGUGCCAGCAGCCGCGGUAAUACGUAGGGGGCAAGCGUUAUCCGGAUUUACUGGGUGUAAAGGGAGCGUAGACGGCAUGGCAAGUCAGAUGUGAAAGCCCGGGGCUCAACCCCGGGACUGCAUUUGAAACUGUCAGGCUGGAGUGCAGGAGAGGUAA
Molecule: ribosomal RNA, 305 nt
Filed under: uncultured bacterium
Lineage: Bacteria
Description: bacterial SSU rRNA
Rfam family: Bacterial small subunit ribosomal RNA
Source: RNAcentral